RNAcentral lists this ribosomal RNA (433 nucleotides) under uncultured bacterium. RNAcentral describes it as "partial 16S ribosomal RNA". It matches the Rfam family "Bacterial small subunit ribosomal RNA", at positions 29 to 507 of the family's 1533-position model. The record is from RNAcentral.
AACGAACGCUGGCGGCAUGCCUAACACAUGCAAGUCGAACGAGACCUUCGGGUCUAGUGGCGCACGGGUGCGUAACACGUGGGAAUCUGCCCUUUGCUUCGGAAUAACAGUUAGAAAUGACUGCUAAUACCGGAUGAUGUCGAAAGACCAAAGAUUUAUCGGCAAAGGAUGAGCGCGCGUAGGAUUAGGUAGUUGGUGGGGUAAAGGCCUACCAAGCCGACGAUCCUUAGCUGGUCUGAGAGGAUGAUCAGCCACACUGGGACUGAGACACGGCCCAGACUCCUACGGGAGGCAGCAGUAGGGUAUAUUGGACAAUGGGGGAAAGCCUGAUCCAGCAAUGCCGCGGGAGUGAUGAAGGCCUUAGGGUUGUAAAGCUCUUUUAGCAGGGAUGAUAAUGACGGUACCUGGAGAAUAAGCACCGGCUAACUCCGUG